ACCCGACUGAUGUAUCCUAAAUAGGACGAAAUGUGCGUCUUGGAU
Molecule: non-coding RNA, 45 nt
Filed under: Schistosoma margrebowiei
Lineage: Eukaryota; Metazoa; Platyhelminthes; Trematoda; Strigeidida; Schistosomatidae
Source: RNAcentral